This 73-nucleotide transfer RNA is filed under the name Planctomycetaceae bacterium. RNAcentral's name for it is "tRNA-Thr". It matches the Rfam family "tRNA". Rfam says of the family: Transfer RNA (tRNA) molecules are approximately 80 nucleotides in length. Their secondary structure includes four short double-helical elements and three loops (D, anti-codon, and T loops). Further hydrogen bonds mediate the characteristic L-shaped molecular structure. tRNAs have two regions of fundamental functional importance: the anti-codon, which is responsible for specific mRNA codon recognition, and the 3' end, to which the tRNAs corresponding amino acid is attached (by aminoacyl-tRNA synthetases). tRNAs cope with the degeneracy of the genetic code in two manners: having more than one tRNA (with a specific anti-codon) for a particular amino acid; and 'wobble' base-pairing, i.e. permitting non-standard base-pairing at the 3rd anti-codon position. The record is from RNAcentral. Lineage: Bacteria; Pseudomonadati; Planctomycetota; Planctomycetia; Planctomycetales; Planctomycetaceae.
GCCGAUGUGGCCGAAACAGAAAGGCGCCUGUCUUGUAAACAGGAUCAUGCUGGUGCGAAUCCAGUCGUCGGCU